AGCGAACGCUGGCGGCAGGCUUAACACAUGCAAGUCGAACGGGCGUAGCAAUACGUCAGUGGCAGACGGGUGAGUAACGCGUGGGAACGUACCUUUUGGUUCGGAACAACCCAGGGAAACUUGGGCUAAUACCGGAUAAGCCCUUACGGGGAAAGAUUUAUCGCCGAAAGAUCGGCCCGCGUCUGAUUAGCUAGUUGGUGUGGUAACGGCGCACCAAGGCGACGAUCAGUAGCUGGUCUGAGAGGAUGAUCAGCCACAUUGGGACUGAGACACGGCCCAAACUCCUACGGGAGGCAGCAGUGGGGAAUAUUGGACAAUGGGCGCAAGCCUGAUCCAGCCAUGCCGCGUGAGUGAUGAAGGCCCUAGGGUUGUAAAGCUCUUUUGUGCGGGAAGAUAAUGACGGUACCGCAAGAAUAAGCCCCGGCUAACUUCGUGCCAGCCGCCGCUGUAAC
Molecule: ribosomal RNA, 452 nt
Filed under: uncultured bacterium
Lineage: Bacteria
Description: bacterial SSU rRNA
Rfam family: Bacterial small subunit ribosomal RNA
Source: RNAcentral